CUUUGUGGUCUAGUGGUAUGAUUCCCGCUUCGGGUGCGGGAGGUCCCGGGUUCGAUCCCCGGC
RNAcentral lists this transfer RNA (63 nucleotides) under Phaeocystis rex. It matches the Rfam family "tRNA", at positions 6 to 64 of the family's 71-position model. From Rfam's summary of the family: Transfer RNA (tRNA) molecules are approximately 80 nucleotides in length. Lineage: Eukaryota; Haptophyta; Phaeocystales; Phaeocystaceae. The record is from RNAcentral.